Triplophysa rosa is the source of this 517-nucleotide long non-coding RNA. RefSeq lists it as uncharacterized. The record is from RefSeq and is a predicted model, not a curated record. The transcript has 3 exons. NCBI's taxonomy places the organism in Eukaryota, Metazoa, Chordata, Actinopteri, Cypriniformes, Nemacheilidae.
CUUUGAUGUCAUACGCCGUUCCGUCUGCGAUCAAACAUCUGACUGGCACACACGAGGUGUACGAGUUUUCACCGGUGUCCUCUCGCGCCACAGGCGGGAAUUCAAAAUAACGGAUGGCAACAACCUCUCGACUGUCCCAUUGGAGAAUUUUCAGUAUUUUCCAGUUGAGUAGACAAAAAAGGACACCCAAGGCCAACAGAACCAGCUCCAGCCCGCCCUGAUGCUCAUCCUUGCACUGCCUAGGACACCUAAGGCCAACAGCCGCAGCUCCUGUUCUCUUUUUGCCAUAAAUACAUAUCUACUUUAGCAAUACAAAAUUGUGAAAUGCACUAUAGAAAUUAUUUUGACUUUGGAUCCUCACACCACCUGGUAAUAGCAGGAAACCCAUUUGGAGAGAACAGCAUUGUUUUUUUUCUUGCUCGCAAGGAUUUGCUUUUUGGCAAAUUACAACUUUACCAUGGGUGUAGGCCUUGCUAUGAGAGACUACUUUUUUGCUGGACUUCUUUACAAUUGUACA